RNAcentral lists this unclassified non-coding RNA (225 nucleotides) under plant metagenome. RNAcentral's name for it is "partial contains small subunit ribosomal RNA, internal transcribed spacer 1, and 5.8S ribosomal RNA". The record is from RNAcentral.
UCUCCGUUGGUGAACCAGCGGAGGGAUCAUUACAGGACUCGCAAGACCCCUACAACCCUGUGAACUUAACUAUAAGCACGUUGCUUCGGCGGGUGUCUCGGAGGGGGUUCUCCCUCCCCGAGACGCUAAACCCGCCGGCAGCCUACUAUACUCUGUCUCUUUGCGUUGGCAUCUCGAGUACAAUCAAACAAGUUAAAACUUUCAACAACGGAUCUCUUGGUUCCG